This 782-nucleotide ribosomal RNA is filed under the name Isoptericola sp. RNAcentral describes it as "bacterial SSU rRNA". It matches the Rfam family "Bacterial small subunit ribosomal RNA", at positions 383 to 1176 of the family's 1533-position model. Lineage: Bacteria; Bacillati; Actinomycetota; Actinomycetes; Micrococcales; Promicromonosporaceae. The record is from RNAcentral.
CUGAUGCAGCGACGCCGCGUGAGGGAUGACGGCCUUCGGGUUGUAAACCUCUUUCAGCAGGGAAGAAGGCUUCGGUUGACGGUACCUGCAGAAGAAGCGCCGGCUAACUACGUGCCAGCAGCCGCGGUAAUACGUAGGGCGCAAGCGUUGUCCGGAAUUAUUGGGCGUAAAGAGCUCGUAGGCGGUCUGUCGCGUCUGGUGUGAAAACCCGAGGCUCAACCUCGGGCUUGCAUCGGGUACGGGCAGACUAGAGUGCGGUAGGGGAGACUGGAAUUCCUGGUGUAGCGGUGGAAUGCGCAGAUAUCAGGAGGAACACCGAUGGCGAAGGCAGGUCUCUGGGCCGCAACUGACGCUGAGGAGCGAAAGCAUGGGGAGCGAACAGGAUUAGAUACCCUGGUAGUCCAUGCCGUAAACGUUGGGCACUAGGUGUGGGGCUCAUUCCACGAGUUCCGUGCCGCAGCUAACGCAUUAAGUGCCCCGCCUGGGGAGUACGGCCGCAAGGCUAAAACUCAAAGGAAUUGACGGGGGCCCGCACAAGCGGCGGAGCAUGCGGAUUAAUUCGAUGCAACGCGAAGAACCUUACCAAGGCUUGACAUGCACCGGACGCUGCCAGAGAUGGUGGUUCCGCAAGGUCGGUGCACAGGUGGUGCAUGCUUGUCGUCAGCUCGUGUCGUGAGAUGUUGGGUUAAGUCCCGCAACGAGCGCAACCCUCGUCCCAUGUUGCCAGCGGGUUAUGCCGGGGACUCAUGGGAGACUGCCGGGGUCAACUCGGAGGAAGGCGG